RNAcentral lists this ribosomal RNA (433 nucleotides) under uncultured bacterium. Its description in RNAcentral is "partial 16S ribosomal RNA". It matches the Rfam family "Bacterial small subunit ribosomal RNA", at positions 29 to 507 of the family's 1533-position model. The record is from RNAcentral.
AACGAACGCUGGCGGCAUGCCUAACACAUGCAAGUCGAACGAGACCUUCGGGUCUAGUGGCGCACGGGUGCGGAACGCGUGGGAAUCUACCCUCAGGUUCGGAAUAACUCAGAGAAAUUUGAGCUAAUACCGGAUGAUGACGUAAGUCCAAAGAUUUAUCGCCUGAGGAUGAGCCCGCGUAGGAUUAGGUAGUUGGUGAGGUACAGGCUCACCAAGCCGACGAUCCUUAGCUGGUCUGAGAGGAUGAUCAGCCACACUGGGACUGAGACACGGCCCAGACUCCUACGGGAGGCAGCAGUGGGGAAUAUUGGACAAUGGGCGAAAGCCUGAUCCAGCAAUGCCGCGUGAGUGAUGAAGGCCUUAGGGUUGUAAAGCUCUUUUACCCGGGAUGAUAAUGACAGUACCGGGAGAAUAAGCUCCGGCUAACUCCGUG